RNAcentral lists this ribosomal RNA (901 nucleotides) under Trichoderma spirale. RNAcentral's name for it is "LSU rRNA". It matches the Rfam family "Eukaryotic large subunit ribosomal RNA", at positions 36 to 966 of the family's 3401-position model. Lineage: Eukaryota; Fungi; Ascomycota; Sordariomycetes; Hypocreales; Hypocreaceae. The record is from RNAcentral.
AAGCAUAUCAAUAAGCGGAGGAAAAGAAACCAACAGGGAUUGCCCCAGUAACGGCGAGUGAAGCGGCAACAGCUCAAAUUUGAAAUCUGGCCCCUCGGGGUCCGAGUUGUAAUUUGUAGAGGAUGCUUUUGGUGAGGUGCCGCCCGAGUUCCCUGGAACGGGACGCCACAGAGGGUGAGAGCCCCGUCUGGCUGGCCACCGAGCCUCUGUAAAGCUCCUUCGACGAGUCGAGUAGUUUGGGAAUGCUGCUCAAAAUGGGAGGUAUAUGUCUUCUAAAGCUAAAUAUUGGCCAGAGACCGAUAGCGCACAAGUAGAGUGAUCGAAAGAUGAAAAGCACCUUGAAAAGAGGGUUAAAUAGUACGUGAAAUUGUUGAAAGGGAAGCGCUUGUGACCAGACUUGGGCGCGGCGGAUCAUCCGGGGUUCUCUCCGGUGCACUUCGCCGCGUCUAGGCCAGCAUCAGUUCGUCGCGGGGGAAAAAGGUUUCGGGAACGUGGCUCCUCCGGGAGUGUUAUAGCCCGUUGCAUAAUACCCUGCGGUGGACUGAGGACCGCGCAUCUGCAAGGAUGCUGGCGUAAUGGUCACCAGCGACCCGUCUUGAAACACGGACCAAGGAGUCGUCUUCGUAUGCGAGUGUUCGGGUGUCAAACCCCUACGCGUAAUGAAAGUGAACGCAGGUGAGAGCUUCGGCGCAUCAUCGACCGAUCCUGAUGUUCUCGGAUGGAUUUGAGUAAGAGCAUACGGGGCCGGACCCGAAAGAAGGUGAACUAUGCCUGUAUAGGGUGAAGCCAGAGGAAACUCUGGUGGAGGCUCGCAGCGGUUCUGACGUGCAAAUCGAUCGUCAAAUAUGGGCAUGGGGGCGAAAGACUAAUCGAACCUUCUAGUAGCUGGUUUCCGCCGAAG